GCAUAAUCAUUAGUUUUUUAAUUGAAGACUAGUAAGAAAGGUUUAAUAAAAAAUAAGCUUUAUAAAUUUAACGUUAUUGAAUUUGUUUUUUUAGUAAAAAAACUAAAAUAUUUAAAAAAGACGAUAAGACCCUAUAAAGCUUUAUAAUAAUUUAAAAAUUUUUAAAUAGUAUAAUUAUUCAAUUAUUUUUUUUAUUAGUUAUUUAAUUGGGGUGAUUUAAAGAUUUAUAAAACUCUUUAUUAUUUUUUGUCAUUUAUGAAUGUUUUUUUUGAUCCUUUAAUUUAAGAAUAAAAAAUUAAGUUACUUUAGGGAUAACAGCGUAAUUUUUUUAAAGAGUUCAAAUCGAUAAAAAAGAUUGCGACCUCGAUGUUGAAUUAAGAUAAAAAUUAGGUGUAGAAGUUUAAUUUUU
Molecule: ribosomal RNA, 409 nt
Filed under: Paratanytarsus austriacus
Lineage: Eukaryota; Metazoa; Arthropoda; Insecta; Diptera; Chironomidae
Description: partial 16S ribosomal RNA
Source: RNAcentral